CCUACGGGAGGCAGCAGUGGGGAAUAUUGCACAAUGGGGGAAACCCUGAUGCAGCAACGCCGCGUGAGUGAUGAAGGCCUUCGGGUUGUAAAGCUCUGUCUAUUGGGACGAUAAUGACGGUACCAAAGGAGGAAGCCACGGCUAACUACGUGCCAGCAGCCGCGGUAAU
This 169-nucleotide ribosomal RNA is filed under the name uncultured Clostridium sp. RNAcentral describes it as "partial 16S ribosomal RNA". It matches the Rfam family "Bacterial small subunit ribosomal RNA", at positions 338 to 524 of the family's 1533-position model. The record is from RNAcentral. Lineage: Bacteria; Bacillati; Bacillota; Clostridia; Eubacteriales; Clostridiaceae.